This 253-nucleotide ribosomal RNA is filed under the name uncultured bacterium. RNAcentral's name for it is "partial 16S ribosomal RNA". It matches the Rfam family "Bacterial small subunit ribosomal RNA", at positions 524 to 776 of the family's 1533-position model. The record is from RNAcentral.
UACGUAGGGCGCAAGCGUUGUCCGGAAUUAUUGGGCGUAAAGAGCUCGUAGGCGGUCUGUUGCGUCGGCUGUGAAAACCCGAGGCUCAACCUCGGGCCUGCAGCCGAUACGGGCAGACUAGAGUUCGGCAGGGGAGACUGGAAUUCCUGGUGUAGCGGUGAAAUGCGCAGAUAUCAGGAGGAACACCGGUGGCGAAGGCGGGUCUCUGGGCCGAUACUGACGCUGAGGAGCGAAAGCGUGGGGAGCGAACAGG